UGUGUAGGUGGCCAUGUAAGUCAGGUGUGAAAGCCCCGGGCUCAACCCGGGAAGUGCAUUUGAUACUGCGUGGCUUGAGUACCGAAGAGGGUAGUGGAAUUCCAGGUGUAGUGGUGAAAUACGUAGAUAUCUGGAGGAACACCGGUGGCGAAGGCGGCUACCUGGUCGAGUACUGACACUAAGACACGAAAGCAUGAGGAUCAAACA
This 207-nucleotide ribosomal RNA is filed under the name uncultured bacterium. RNAcentral describes it as "partial 16S ribosomal RNA". It matches the Rfam family "Bacterial small subunit ribosomal RNA", at positions 568 to 774 of the family's 1533-position model. The record is from RNAcentral.